UUUUUUAUUUAAAUAGUUAUUUUUAAAAUAUUAUUUUAGAUAUAUUAUAUUUUUAUUAUAAUUUUUAAUAUUAAUUUUAAAAUAUCACUAAAUUUAAAAUUAUAAUAGUUAUAUAAAUAAUGUUUGAUUUAUAAAUCCGUUUAAUUUUCAAUCAUUUAGUAAAUGUGUGUUUGAUUCCGUCAAAUUAAAUCUGUGGUUUAGCAAUUAGAAUUUAAAUUAAUUAGUUUUAGAAAAGUUAGGGCAAAAGAAGUGAAGUGGAAGGUGUGAA
This 268-nucleotide long non-coding RNA is filed under the name Lathyrus oleraceus (garden pea). Its description in RNAcentral is "Pisum sativum (pea) long non-coding RNA (PSAT_LNC013503)". Lineage: Eukaryota; Viridiplantae; Streptophyta; Magnoliopsida; Fabales; Fabaceae. The record is from RNAcentral.